AUCCAUGAAGACAUGAGGAACCUUCACAUUGAAAUCCUAAGACAAUUUCAUAUGCAGGAGAUGGAAUUUUCCGGCGUGAUGAGCUCAAUUCUGGAAAAUCAGGCAGAUCUGAUGAAAGAAAUUAAGUCUCUUAGGAAAGAAAACCAGGAGCUUCGCCAAUUACUUUGAGAAAUAGUGAAGAUUGCAUUGUUAUUUGUGACUGUUAAUGGAUUUUGGAUUCUGUUUUUCAUUUGCUUGGUUUUGCACUUCAUAGGUGCCCUUCUGUUUCUCAGGUAAUUAGGAUUGCUUCCCUUAGCAAUAGUGCUGAAGCGUUCAGAAGGUGGAGAAAAAGGACCAAAAUUCAAUGUUAUUAGAAUUAGGAUUCUUAUUCCUUCAGCCUGUAAAUAGAUGCCUCAAUUCUCAUAGGAUCUGUGUUAUUCGACAUUUUUAGAUUCCACUGCAAAAUGUCUCCAUUCCUGUUGUAACUAAAGAAUUUUCAAUGUAUCAAGC
This 489-nucleotide unclassified non-coding RNA is filed under the name Hevea brasiliensis (rubber tree). The record is from RNAcentral. Lineage: Eukaryota; Viridiplantae; Streptophyta; Magnoliopsida; Malpighiales; Euphorbiaceae.